GGACGGUCUCCUUUGAGGAACAUAAUCUUCAUCGAUGAUGAUGAAAGCAAUGGAAAUGAAUAUCCUAAAUUUGGUCUGGAAGAUGACCACCACUUCUUUCAUGACCCAUCCCCUAGCAUGAGACCAUGCUCAAGCUCGAGAAGUGCUAAAGAACCUCUAGAUGAAAUUGAUGAUGACUGUCAGUUUGUUCGAGAAAAUAUUUCCCCAGUGAAGUUAUCAAAAUGUAAAAGAACUUACUCUGGAAAAAGUCCUGUCCAAAAUCGUUAUGGUUUGAUGUCUGAUUCAGAGAGUAGUUCAUCUGAUGAUGAUGAGG
Molecule: unclassified non-coding RNA, 313 nt
Filed under: Hevea brasiliensis (rubber tree)
Lineage: Eukaryota; Viridiplantae; Streptophyta; Magnoliopsida; Malpighiales; Euphorbiaceae
Source: RNAcentral